This is a long non-coding RNA of Oncorhynchus tshawytscha (Chinook salmon), 1144 nucleotides long. The record is from Ensembl. Lineage: Eukaryota; Metazoa; Chordata; Actinopteri; Salmoniformes; Salmonidae.
CGGGACAGGAUGGGACAAGACAAAACACACGUCCGACUGCUAUGCCAUCUUGGGUCGUCCGAGUUAGGGGAAGGUUAGGCCGGCAGGGAUGUCCUUGUCCCAUUGAGCACUAGCGACUCCUAUGGCUGGCCGGGCGCAGUGCACAUUGACACGGGUGCCAGGUGUACGGUGUUUCCCCCAACACAUUGGUGUGGCUGGCUUCUGGGUUAAGUGGGCAUUGUGUGAAGAGGCAGUGCGGCUUGGCUUGGUUGGGUUGUGUUUCAGAGGACGCACGGCUCUCGACCUUCGCCUCUCCCGAGUCCGUACGGGAAUUGCAGCGAUGAGACAAGACUGCAACUACCAAUUGGAUAACACGAAUACGUGGUAAAAACAAAAAAAUAAACACAGCCAAUGUGCUUAACAAAUAAAAUUAUGAAAAAUGUGACAGAAAAACAGUUUUCUUUACAAAUAUAUGAUUAAGAUAGACAAGAAUAUAAUUAAGAGACACAUUUUUGUGGUAGUGGAAUAAGAUUAAAAAGUUUUACUUUAAACAUGUUAUUUGAGUAGUGAAAUAAUUUAAAAUGCCCAUCCCUAGUCAGUAGUGGUCAGUAGUUGGGUGGUUGUGGUCAGUAGUUGUGUGAUCAUUAGUUGAGUGGUUGUGGUCGGUAGUUGUGGUCAGAGGUGGUCCCUAGUUUUAGUAAGUAGGUGUGUAGUUCUGUAGUUGUGGUCAGCAGUUGUGUGGUUGUGGUCAGUAGUUGUGGUCAAUAGUUGUGGUCAGUAGUUGUGUGGUUGUGGUCAGUAGCGUUCAGUAGUUAUGGUCAGUAGUUGUGUGGUUAUGGUCAGGAGUUGUGGUCAGUAGUUGUGAGGUCAGUAGUUAGUUGGUUCUGGUCUGUAGCUGUGGUCAGUAAUUGUGGUCAGUAGUUGUGUGACUGGUCAUUAGCUGUGUGAUCAGCAAUUGUGGUUAGUAAUUGUGUUGUGGUAAGUAGGUGUGUGGUUCAGAAGUUGUGGUCAGUAGUUGUGUGGAUAUGCUUAGUAGUUGUGGUCAGUAGAUGUGUGGUUGUGUUCAGUAGUUGUGGUCUGUAGUUGUGUUGUUGUGUCGUAUUGUGUUCAGUAGUUGAGUGGUUGUGGUCAGUAGUUGUGUGGUUCAGUAGUUGUGGCCAGGAGU